CACCCAGCGCUGCGGUCGACGUUGAAUUCACCUCUUAAGUUGGUAAUAGUGCUGCAAAUUCAGGAGAUUUCUCCGCGACAUAAGUAGUCUGUUCUUUUCAGCUGCACUGUUGAAUUGGUGCAAUAAAUUAAAGUGAGACAAGUAUAUGUUUUCUCGCUCUAACUUAUUGUACCAAUUCAGCAAUGCAGCUGAAAAGAACAAACCAAAGGUCUCCUGCGCAUGCGUAGAGUAACGUUGCAGCCUGGAUAUUUGAUAUUAUAUCGUUACGUCAUUCUAUGCAUGUCUCCUGAGGUCUUCUGUCGCGAAGAAAAUCUUCCAAGCUAGCACUAGUUGGUAGCACUGUCGAGAACAGAUUGCGAGGGGAAUAACGUAUUUCGUGAAUUUUGUCUCGUGGAUUUCACGAUUUCGGCUCUCUGAAUACGAGUUUCACGUCUGCAUCAUCGCCGAGAGUGCCAAAAACAGCCCGGAAUCGGCGAAUCGAAAACUGCGCUACCUGGCAGCCAUGGUAAGGAGUAUUGAUAAAAUGGACGUGCAACCUUUACUAGGAACAUUCCAGGCGCUUCGUUCUUUCGACGUUAAGGAUGUAAAAAAAGUGAUUUCUUCCCGAAAACUCUAAAUUAUUAACACAUUAAUUAAAACGACUAGCCUUCUAGAAUUCUAUACUGAUGUAUGACGACGAAGAGAUAUAUAUUGGGCAAUUUCAUCGGAGUUCGUCAUUCGCUUCGGCGUCUCCUUAAUCGCGACAACGAAGCAUGAAUCAACAUUGGAAUCGACCGACAGCGCGACGUAAGCCACCCCUAAACGCCGCAAAACGCUAUCCCGCCGAUUUGCAACUAGGAACGGCGCGGCGCACAGCGAUCGCCCAUUAAUUACCAACGCCAAUCAUCUUAUUACAAGCGCAAGCUUGCGCGCACGGCGCGCACAUGGUCGGAAUACCGGGAAUGCAGGCGCAUUAUCCUCGUCUCGAUCGUACGUAACGCUGAUAAACGCACGCUCGAUGGAAACGAGCGCGAGCGCGCGCACGAUCGCCGCCGACCGCGGUAAUAGACAGUUUACAUUCGGCAAUCCUGGCGAACAGCGAAACGUUUACCGUGGCGGUAACCGAUCGUUACAUCCACCGUACGUUUCCCGAUGGCCAGCACGAUCCUCUCUCAUGAGUUACUGAAUCCACAAUCAGCGGGGAGAGAGAAACGAGCGGCGGUGGCGUGAGGGGCUGCGUUCUGCGGCCAACGUCGCGUUGCUGCACGUGCAGCAAAGUCGCUAAAGAUCACGGUCCCGCAUGCGAAAGAGCAGUACAUCGCACUGAAACAUCAUAAAAUCGAGAGAUUAUUCUCUUCGCCUCCUUUUGAGAGAUAUCGAAAUUAAUAAAACUCCAGCAACCGCGCCGACAAUGGUAGCAGGACAGAAGCCCCUUUACAAUAAAAUAAAAAAUGUAAAAAUAGAAAAUGUAACAUCAAAAAAGUUAUCAAAUUCUGAGCAAAAGUUUAGAAUCUCAAGAAAAAAUAUAAAAAACGCGAAUUAUUGAAUUAAUCGAAAAGUUAGAUAUGUUUUUGAGUCCGAAAUAUAACUUUAUUGCAAUCAAUGAUAAGAAACCAUUUCAUCGACCAAAUGCCAUCGUUGUCCUAUAGUCUUUCGAUAACAUCUUAGAAACAUUCGUGCAUCUUGUAUAAAUUAAUGUAUCAUCGAAAAUAAGAAAAGAUCGAGUCGCUUUGACAAUUCUAAUUUAACCAUAUUUAAACAUGCAGUCACACAUGUUUAAACGUGCAAAACAUGUUUAAACGUGCAGUCACACAUUCUAAUUGUCGCCUUUUACGACUUUGUUUUCAAAGAAAAUGUUUUGGAUUUGCGUCAUAUUUUAAACUGAUAUUUAUCGCCUUCAUUAAUAGUAACGAACAGUAAACAUCAUGUUCACACAGUCGAAGUAUCUAACGUUAAAAUCCACCAGUUUCCAUCACCUUCCAGGCGACCGUCUGAUUCUUCGAAAGCUCCUAAGAUAUCCACAGAUUUCUUUUUAAUGCAAUAUUCGAAACGCUUUUAAAUUAGUCUGUCUCACAACACUCACUACAGCACGCAUCCCCCAGCACAGCAUCCUCGAUUAUAUCCAAGCACAACACGAGAUCGCGCGCACUUGAGGAUUUCUUUCUGAAAAUCGGAACCAUCGAAAUCGACGACAGCGGUCGCGAUAGCUAUUGUAACCGAGAACUCGCUCGCUCACUCGCUCGUUCGAGUUUUUGGCGGUUUACCCUCGACCGAUGGGGCGCA
Molecule: long non-coding RNA, 2262 nt
Organism: Odontomachus brunneus
Lineage: Eukaryota; Metazoa; Arthropoda; Insecta; Hymenoptera; Formicidae
Exons: 3
Source: RefSeq, a predicted model, not a curated record